CUGGUCUUGACAUCCAUAGAAUUCCUUAGAAAUAAGAAAGUGCCUUAGGGAACUAUGAGACAGGUGCUGCAUGGCUGUCGUCAGCUCGUGUUGUGAAAUGUUGGGUUAGGUCCCGCAACGAGCGCAACCCUUAUCCCCUGUUGCCAUCGGUUCGGCCGGGAACUCAGAGGAGACUGCCGGUUAUAAACCGGAGGAAGGUGGGGACGACGUCAAGUCAUCAUGGCCCUUACGACCAGGGCUACACACGUGCUACAAUGGUUUAUACAAAGAGAAGCAAAUCUGUAAAGACAAGCAAACCUCAUAAAGUAAAUCGUAGUCCGGACUGGAGUCUGCAACUCGACUCCACGAAGUCGGAAUCGCUAGUAAUCGUGGAUCAGAAUGCCACGGUGAAUACGUUCCCGGGUCUUGUACACACCGC
This 418-nucleotide ribosomal RNA is filed under the name Buchnera aphidicola (Aphis gossypii). Its description in RNAcentral is "bacterial SSU rRNA". It matches the Rfam family "Bacterial small subunit ribosomal RNA", at positions 975 to 1393 of the family's 1533-position model. The record is from RNAcentral. Lineage: Bacteria; Pseudomonadati; Pseudomonadota; Gammaproteobacteria; Enterobacterales; Erwiniaceae.